RNAcentral lists this ribosomal RNA (253 nucleotides) under uncultured bacterium. Its description in RNAcentral is "partial 16S ribosomal RNA". It matches the Rfam family "Bacterial small subunit ribosomal RNA", at positions 524 to 776 of the family's 1533-position model. The record is from RNAcentral.
UACGGAGGGUGCAAGCGUUAUCCGGAUUUACUGGGCUUAGAGGGCGCGUAGGUGGACUUGUAAGUCAGUGGUGAAAUCUCCGAGCUUAACUCGGAAACUGCCAUUGAUACUAUAAGUCUUGAGUGUUCUGGAGGUGAGCGGAAUAUGUCAUGUAGCGGUGAAAUGCUUAGAUAUGACGUAGAACACCAAUUGCGAAGGCAGCUCACUGCGGGAUUAUUGACACUGAGGCGCGAAAGCGUGGGGAGCAAACAGG